This 479-nucleotide ribosomal RNA is filed under the name uncultured bacterium. Its description in RNAcentral is "partial 16S ribosomal RNA". It matches the Rfam family "Bacterial small subunit ribosomal RNA", at positions 28 to 507 of the family's 1533-position model. The record is from RNAcentral.
GAUGAACGCUAGCGGGAGGCCUAACACAUGCAAGCCGAGCGGUAGAGCCUCUUCGGAGACUUCAGAGCGGCGCACGGUUGCGGAACACGUGUGCAACCUGCCUUUAUCUCUGGUAUAGCCUUUCGAAAGGAAGAUUAAUACCCCAUAAUAUACUGGAUGGCAUCAUCUGGUAUUGAAAACUCUUGUGGAUAGAGAUGGUCACGCGCACGAUUAGAUAGUUGGUGAGGUAACGGCUCACCAAGUCAGCGAUCUUUAGGGGGCGUGGGAGUGUGAUCACACAAGAAGGUACAGAGACACGAACCAGACACGGACGGGAGGAAGCAGGAAGGAAUAUUGGAGAAUGGGUGAGAGCCUGAUCCAGACAGCCCGCGUGAAGAACGACGGCCCUAUGGAUUGUAAACUUCUUGUGUAUAGAGAGAAACAGAGAUACGUGUAGCUAGCUGAAGGUACUAUACAAAUAAGGACCGGCUAACUCCGUU